CUACGGGCUGCACCAGUGGGGAAUAUUGCACAAUGGACGAAAGUCUGAUGCAGCAACGCCGCGUGGAGGAUGACACUUUUCGGAGCGUAAACUCCUUUUAUAUAGGAAGAAGAUGACGGUACUAUAUGAAUAAGCGCCGGCUAACUCCGUGCCAGCAGCCGCGGUAAUACGGAGGGCGCAAGCGUUACUCGGAAUCACUGGGCGUAAAGAGCGUGUAGGCGGAUUAAAAAGUCAGAAGUGAAAUCCUAUAGCUUAACUAUAGAACUGCUUCUGAAACUCUUAAUCUAGAAUAUGGGAGAGGUAGAUGGAAUUUCUGGUGUAGGGGUAAAAUCCGUAGAGAUCAGAAGGAAUACCGAUUGCGAAGGCGAUCUACUAGAACAUUAUUGACGCUGAGACGCGAAAGCGUGGGGAGCAAACAGGAUUAGAUACCCCAGUAGUC
This 439-nucleotide ribosomal RNA is filed under the name uncultured bacterium. RNAcentral's name for it is "partial 16S ribosomal RNA". It matches the Rfam family "Bacterial small subunit ribosomal RNA", at positions 339 to 795 of the family's 1533-position model. The record is from RNAcentral.